UGGAGCAACGCCGCGUGAGUGAAGAAGGCUUUCGGGUCGUAAAACUCUGUUGUUGGAGAAGAAUGGUCGGCAGAGUAACUGUUGUCGGCGUGACGGUAUCCAACCAGAAAGCCACGGCUAACUACGUGCCAGCAGCCGCGGUAAUACGUAGGUGGCAAGCGUUAUCCGGAUUUAUUGGGCGUAAAGCGAGCGCAGGCGGUUUUUUAAGUCUGAUGUGAAAGCCCUCGGCUUAACCGAGGAAGUGCAUCGGAAACUGGGAAACUUGAGUGCAGAAGAGGACAGUGGAACUCCAUGUGUAGCGGUGAAAUGCGUAGAUAUAUGGAAGAACACCAGUGGCGAAGGCGGCUGUCUGGUCUGUAACUGACGCUGAGGCUCGAAAGCAUGGGUAGCGAACAGGAUUAGAUACCCUGGUAGUCCAUGCCGUAAACGGUGAAUGCUAGGUGUUGGAGGGUUUCCGCCCUUCAGUGCUGCAGCUAACGCAUGAAGCAUUCCGCCUGGGGAGUACGACCGCAAGGUCGAAACUCAAAGGAAUUGACGGGGGCCCGCACAAGCGGUGGAGCAUGUGGUUUAAUUCGAAGCAACGCGAAGAACCUACCAGGUCUUGACAUCUUU
This 612-nucleotide ribosomal RNA is filed under the name Lacticaseibacillus rhamnosus. RNAcentral's name for it is "bacterial SSU rRNA". It matches the Rfam family "Bacterial small subunit ribosomal RNA", at positions 387 to 991 of the family's 1533-position model. Lineage: Bacteria; Bacillati; Bacillota; Bacilli; Lactobacillales; Lactobacillaceae. The record is from RNAcentral.